Molecule: ribosomal RNA, 754 nt
Filed under: uncultured bacterium
Lineage: Bacteria
Description: bacterial SSU rRNA
Rfam family: Bacterial small subunit ribosomal RNA
Source: RNAcentral
UGCAGUCGAACGGUGACGGAGGGCUUGCCCUUCUGAUCAGUGGCGAACGGGUGAGUAACACGUGAGUAACCUGCCCUUCACUCUGGGAUAACGCUGGGAAACCGGUGCUAAUACUGGAUACGACCUACUCGGGCAUCCGAUGUGGGUGGAAAGAUUUAUUGGUGGAGGAUGGACUCGCGGCCUAUCAGCUUGUUGGUGAGGUAAUGGCUCACCAAGGCGACGACGGGUAGCCGGCCUGAGAGGGCGAUCGGCCACACUGGGACUGAGACACGGCCCAGACUCCUACGGGAGGCAGCAGUGGGGAAUAUUGCACAAUGGGCGAAAGCCUGAUGCAGCGACGCCGCGUGAGGGAUGAAGGCCUUCGGGUUGUAAACCUCUUUCAGCAGGGAAGAAGCAGCUGGGUUUUCUUGGUUGUGACGGUACCUGCAGAAGAAGCACCGGCUAACUACGUGCCAGCAGCCGCGGUAAUACGUAGGGUGCAAGCGUUGUCCGGAAUUAUUGGGCGUAAAGAGCCUGUAGGCGGUUUGUCGCGUCUGCUGUGAAAUUUCGGGGCUCAACCCCGAACUUGCAGUGGGUACGGGCAGACUAGAGUGUGGUAGGGGAGACUGGAAUUCCUGGUGUAGCGGUGAAAUGCGCAGAUAUCAGGAGGAACACCGAUGGCGAAGGCAGGUCUCUGGGCCACUACUGACGCUGAGAAGCGAAAGCAUGGGGAGCGAACAGGAUUAGAUACCCUGGUAGAAUCACUAGUGAAUUC